UACGUAGGGGGCAAGCGUUGUCUGGAAUCAUUGGGCGUAAAGAGCGUGUAGGCGGCCAGAUAAGUCCGCUGUGAAAUCUCGAGGCUCAACUUCGAGCUGUCGGUGGAAACUGUCUGGCUAGAGUCCGGAAGAGGAGAAUGGAAUUCCUGGUGUAGCGGUGAAAUGCGCAGAUAUCAGGAAGAACACCCGUGGCGAAGGCGGUUCUCUGGGACGGUACUGACGCUGAGACGCGAAAGCGUGGGGAGCGAACAGG
RNAcentral lists this ribosomal RNA (253 nucleotides) under uncultured bacterium. RNAcentral describes it as "partial 16S ribosomal RNA". It matches the Rfam family "Bacterial small subunit ribosomal RNA", at positions 524 to 776 of the family's 1533-position model. The record is from RNAcentral.